Gossypium arboreum is the source of this 732-nucleotide long non-coding RNA. RefSeq lists it as uncharacterized. The transcript is spliced from 6 exons. The record is from RefSeq and is a predicted model, not a curated record. NCBI's taxonomy places the organism in Eukaryota, Viridiplantae, Streptophyta, Magnoliopsida, Malvales, Malvaceae.
CAAUAAUGGAGAUACCACAAACAAAACCCUCAAAGUGCUGAGUUCUCUCUCUCGGGAUCUCGUGGAACUCUCGAUUAGUACGCAUAACACCUGGUGUAGGUAGAUUUGUUGCUAGGAGUUACAGUCCAAGACAGUUGGUCAGCGCGUCACCUGGAAUUCCAUUAUUUGAGAUUUUUGUGGUUAAAGAAGAUGAAGAAAUAUAUCUUAUGCAGGUAGUUUAUUUACAGCGUGCGAAAGGAAGUUCUACGAAUAGUACCAGCUCACCUUCCAGGCCUACAAAAACCCCAUCCUAUGACCAUGAAAAGCUACUUACCAGAAAAUUUUUGAUUAAUUCAAUCUAUCUAUUGGACGUUUUCAGUAAACCAUUAAGCAUGCUCUAAUGCUCAUACAGACCAAGGCAUGAACCCUGUUAUUGAAUUCUUUCAUUUUCUUCCCUAGGUUGCAUUAUGAGAAGCAAUGCUAUCUGAUAUAUUGUGUUCAAUAUGAACAAUGUAUGUCAAUGUAUUGAAUUUGGUGUAAGGUUGCAUGUUACAAAGGUCAGGGAAGAAUAGCAGAAUUUGGUUUCCGUAACCCGCGAUGGGUCGAUGGCGAACUUCUCCAACUUAAUGGCAAGGGCAUUGGACCCUAUGUCAAAGGAGCUGAUCUAGGUUUCCUUUACAUUGUGCCCGAGCAAAGUUUCCUUGUGCUACACAACCGUUUAAUAUAUAAAUAUAUUUGUAUAAAGUAUUUUAA